AAAGACUUAGUCCUAACCUUACCGUUGAUUGUUGCUAGACAUAUACAUGCAAGUAUCCGCGCCCCAGUGUAAAUGCCCUUCCCCUACUACUCGACCUAGGCAGAGGAGCAGGUAUCAGGCACACUCAACCUGUGGUGGCCCAAGACGCCUUGCUUAGCCACACCCCCACGGGCACUCAGCAGUAAUUAACAUUAAGCAAUAAGUGAAAACUUGACUUAGCCAUAGCAAUCCACAAGGGUUGGUUAAUCUUGUGCCAGCCACCGCGGUCAUACAAGAGACCCAAAUUAACUGUAGUACGGCGUAAAGAGUGGUGACAUACUAUCAUACCAACUAAGAUCAAAAUAUAGUCGAGCUGUCAUAAGCCCAAACUACACUUAAGAUCACUCUGAAGACAAUCUUAGCGCUCGCGAUUGAUAAGACCCACGAAAGCUAAGGCACAAACUGGGAUUAGAUACCCCACUAUGCUUAGCCCUAAAUCUUGAUACUUAGUCCACUAAAGUAUCCGCCCGAGAACUACGAGCACAAACGCUUAAAACUCUAAGGACUUGGCGGUGCCCCAAACCCACCUAGAGGAGCCUGUUCUAUAAUCGAUAACCCACGAUGUACCUAACCACCCCUUGCCAAAACAGCCUACAUACCGCCGUCGCCAGCUUACCUCUACUGAGAGUGUAGCAGUGAGCACAACAGCCCUAACCGCGCUAGCAAGACAGGUCAAGGUAUAGCUCAUGGAGUGGAAGAAAUGGGCUACAUUUUCUAAGCUAGAAAACUACGGAGAGGGGUGUGAAACCACCCCUGGAAGGCGGAUUUAGAAGUAAAGUGGGAUAAUAAAGCCUACUUUAAACUGGCCCUGGGGCACGUACAUACCGCCCGUCACCCUCAUCACAAACCACCCAAGCCUAAUAGUUAAUGCCACACCCAACCAAAGAUGAGGUAAGUCGUAACAAGGUAAGUGUACCGGAAGGUGUACUUAGCAUAU
RNAcentral lists this non-coding RNA (976 nucleotides) under Ardeola bacchus (Chinese pond heron). RNAcentral describes it as "12S ribosomal RNA". It matches the Rfam family "Bacterial small subunit ribosomal RNA". Lineage: Eukaryota; Metazoa; Chordata; Aves; Pelecaniformes; Ardeidae. The record is from RNAcentral.